GGGGGGGUUGAUGGUUUUCAAUUUUUUUUUUUUUUUUUUUUUUGGUUUUGGUUGAAGAUUAAGCAGGGAAGAAGAUGAAGAUGGGGAGAGAGAGAGGGGGAAAUGGACGAACAGAGGGAUUUUUUUAUUAUUAUUAUUUUACUUUUCUUUAUUAUUUUAAAAAAUAUUAAAUAAUUUUUUUUUAGUUUUUAAUUAUAUUUUAUUAAUUUUUUUUAUAGAAAAUGGGUCUCGAAUCAAGCCACGCCAGCAUUUAAUUGACAAGUAAACGACCAAGUAAUGGAAGGUAUAACAUUGGACCAAAUUCUAAAGAUGAGGUAUGACAUUGUCAAUUUUAAAAGAUGAUGUAUGAAAGUAUUGUGACACCAAUAGUUGAGGUAGUUUUUUGUACUUUACCCAAAAAAAAAAAAAAAAACCCUUCAAUUCGUCUUCCGCACCCCUUAUCUUCCUCCUCCUGUCUUCUCCCCCAUCUUCAUCUUCUUCACCCUGC
RNAcentral lists this long non-coding RNA (487 nucleotides) under Malus domestica (apple). RNAcentral's name for it is "long non-coding RNA (MDOM_LNC017182)". The record is from RNAcentral. Lineage: Eukaryota; Viridiplantae; Streptophyta; Magnoliopsida; Rosales; Rosaceae.